This 240-nucleotide ribosomal RNA is filed under the name Cupriavidus sp. Is-D323. RNAcentral describes it as "partial 16S ribosomal RNA". It matches the Rfam family "Bacterial small subunit ribosomal RNA", at positions 545 to 784 of the family's 1533-position model. Lineage: Bacteria; Pseudomonadati; Pseudomonadota; Betaproteobacteria; Burkholderiales; Burkholderiaceae. The record is from RNAcentral.
UCGGAAUUACUGGGCGUAAAGCGUGCGCAGGCGGUUUUGUAAGACAGGCGUGAAAUCCCCGAGCUCAACUUGGGAAUGGCGCUUGUGACUGCAAGGCUAGAGUAUGUCAGAGGGGGGUAGAAUUCCACGUGUAGCAGUGAAAUGCGUAGAGAUGUGGAGGAAUACCGAUGGCGAAGGCAGCCCCCUGGGACGUCACUGACGCUCAUGCACGAAAGCGUGGGGAGCAAACAGGAUUAGAUA